GAUGAAGAACGUAGCGAAAUGCGAUAAGUAAUGUGAAUUGCAGAAUUCAGUGAAUCAUCGAAUCUUUGAACGCACAUUGCGCCCGCCAGUAUUCUGGCGGGCAUGCCUGUUCGAGCGUCAUUUCAACCAUCAAGCCCCCGGCUUGUGUUGGGGACCUGCGGCUGCCGCAGGCCCUGAAAAGCAGUGGCGGGCUCGCUGUCACACCGAGCGUAGUAGCAUACAUCUCGCUCUGGGCGUGCUGCGGGUUCCGGCCGUUAAACCACCUUCAUAACCCAAGGUUGACCUCGGAUCAGGUAGGAAGACCCGCUGAACUUAAGCAUAUCAAUAAGGAGGA
RNAcentral lists this unclassified non-coding RNA (334 nucleotides) under soil metagenome. RNAcentral describes it as "partial contains 5.8S ribosomal RNA, internal transcribed spacer 2, and large subunit ribosomal RNA". The stretch from base 1 to 120 matches the Rfam family "5.8S ribosomal RNA", at positions 35 to 154 of the family's 154-position model. The record is from RNAcentral.